UCAGGAAUCUUGGGCAAUGGGGGAAACCCUGACCCAGCCACCCUGUGUGAGGGAUGAAGGCCUUCGGGUCGUAAACCUCUGUCAGAGGGGACGAAUCCGGUAUGGGUGAACAAUCCAUGCCGUUGACAGUACUCUCAGAGGAAGCGCCGGCUAACUACGUGCCAGCAGCCGCGGUAAAACGUAGGGCGCGAGCGUUGCGCGGAAUUAUUGGGCGUAAAGGGUGUGUAGGCGGCCGAGUCUGUCAAAGAUGAAAUCCCGAGGCUCAACUUCGGAAUGGUCUUUGAAACUGCUCGGCUUGAGGAUAGUGGAGGAGGAUGGAAUUCCCGGUGGAGCGGUGAAAUGCGUAGAUAUCGGGAGGAACACCCGAGGCGUAAGCGAUUCUCUAAGCUAUUCCUGACGCUGAGACACGAAAGCUAGGGGAGCGAACGGGAUUAGAUACCCCGGUAGUCCUAGCCGUAAACGAUGUGGACUUGGCGUUGGUGGGGUAAAAUCCAUCAGUGCCGGAGCUAGCGCGGUAAGUCCACCGCCUGGGGACUACGGCCGCAAGGUUA
This 551-nucleotide ribosomal RNA is filed under the name uncultured bacterium. Its description in RNAcentral is "bacterial SSU rRNA". It matches the Rfam family "Bacterial small subunit ribosomal RNA", at positions 355 to 896 of the family's 1533-position model. The record is from RNAcentral.